RNAcentral lists this ribosomal RNA (643 nucleotides) under Stenotrophomonas maltophilia. RNAcentral's name for it is "bacterial SSU rRNA". It matches the Rfam family "Bacterial small subunit ribosomal RNA", at positions 46 to 678 of the family's 1533-position model. Lineage: Bacteria; Pseudomonadati; Pseudomonadota; Gammaproteobacteria; Lysobacterales; Lysobacteraceae. The record is from RNAcentral.
GCCUAACACAUGCAAGUCGAACGGCAGCACAGGAGAGCUUGCUCUCUGGGUGGCGAGUGGGGGACGGGUGGGGAAUACAUCGGAAUCUACUCGGGCGUGGGGGAUAACGUAGGGAAGCUUACGCUAAUACCGCCCACCACCUACGGGUGAGAGCUGGGGACCUUCUGGCCUUGCGCAAUUGAAUGAGCCGAUUUCGGAUUAUCUAGUUGGCGGGGUAAAGGCCCACCACGGCCACUAUCCGUACCUGGACUAAGAGGAUGAUCACCCACACUGAAACUGAGACCCGACCCCUACUCCUACGGGAGGCGGCAAUGGGGAAAAUUGGACAAUGGGCCCAAGCCUGACCCGCCCAUACCGCGAGGAUGAACAAGGCCUUCGGGUUGUAAAUCCCUUUUGUUGAGAAAAAAUUCCAUCUGGCUAAUACCCGGUGGGGAUGACGGUACCAAAAAAAUACGCCCCGGUUAAUUCCAUGCCCCCAGCCACGACAAAACGAAGGGUGCAAGCUUUACUCUAAAUUACUGGGCGUAAAGCGAGCGUAGGUGUUCAUUUAAAUCCGUUGUCACCGCCCUGGGCUCAACCUGGGAAUUGCAUUGGAUACUGGUCGACUAGAGUGUGGUAUAGGGUAACUCAAUUCCUGGUGUAG